RNAcentral lists this ribosomal RNA (563 nucleotides) under uncultured bacterium. Its description in RNAcentral is "bacterial SSU rRNA". It matches the Rfam family "Bacterial small subunit ribosomal RNA", at positions 338 to 916 of the family's 1533-position model. The record is from RNAcentral.
CCUACGGGAGGCAGCAGUGGGGAAUCUUGCACAAUGGGCGAAAGCCUGAUGCACCCAUGCCGCGUGAAUGAUGAAGGCCUUAGGGUUGUAAAAUUCUUUCGUCAGGGAUGAUAAUGACCGUACCUGAAAAAGAAGCCCCGGCUAACUUCGUGCCAGCAGCCGCGGUAAUACGAAGGGGGCUAGCGUUGUUCGGAAUUACUGGGCGUAAAGCGCACGUAGGCGGAUUUUUAAGUCAGGUGUGAAAUCCCGGGGCUCAACCUCAGAACUGCAUUUGAAACUGGAAGUCUUGAGACCAGGAGAGGUUAGCGGAAUACCGAGUGUAGAGGUGAAAUUCGUAGAUAUUCGGUGGAACACCAGUGGCGAAGGCGGCUAACUGGACUGGUACUGACGCUGAGGUGCGAAAGCUAGGGUAGCAAACGGGAUUAGAUACCCCGGUAGUCCUAGCCGUAAACAAUGGGCACUGGGUAAAGGGGACACCUAUGGUCUUCUUUGCCGUAUCUAAUGUGUUAAGUGCCCCGCCUGGAGAGUACGCUCGCAAGGGUAAAACUCAAAGGAAUUGACGG